RNAcentral lists this long non-coding RNA (816 nucleotides) under Gallus gallus (chicken). The record is from RNAcentral. Lineage: Eukaryota; Metazoa; Chordata; Aves; Galliformes; Phasianidae.
UGUGUACCUGAGGUCUUCCAAAGGGAAUCCGUCUCAGCUGCCCGCUGCUUCUUCUGCCAGACUUUCCGUGGGGACCCUGUGAUGUCCUCCAGUGGUGUGUCCUUCCCUAGUCAACAAGGGUGUCAUUGCUCAGGCAUGGGGUGCACCUCGUGCCCCCAGGGAUGGAGAGCAGGAGAGCUACUAGAUGUGCCCAGCACUCCAGGGUUACAUGAGGGACCACGCCACCUCACCUGCACUGACCACAGGUGUUUGGGCACCAGGGCCAGGCCAACUCACCGAACACCUGCAGGCUGGACAGCGCAGCAUGGACUCGCAGCACCUCCCUCAGGGUGGCCCUGCGUGUGCUGAGGGGGAUGUGGCAGACACGGGGGUCUCCCCGACUGAUGUGGGGGUUCCUGCUAUCAAAAAGCAGUGCCCGGUUGUGACGAGGGGCUCGGAGAAAGAUGCGCUGAGCUUCCUUCAGGUGCUCUGCCCAAGCUGCCAACAGGUCCUGAAUAUCCUGGGGAAGAAAGGAAGGCUCCAUGGAGUCCUGAGCACACAGUGUGGGCAGCAGCAGGCAGAUUCAAGACACGGCAGCCUCAUUUGGGUUCUGACCCUGCUCUGGAGCUCACAGCCCACAUCUGAACUCCAACGGCGGCAUGGCACCCUCACACAGAGCUGCCUGUGACCACAUUUUCCUGCUGAAAGCCCAAGCCUGUGGUCCAUUCUCACCUUGAGCAGUGCAGCUUCGUUGUAACGCCGCAGGGAGGCUCCUGCUGAUCUGGGUGCUGACCCUGGGGUCUGGGCAUCCCGUAGGCUCUGGGCUGUGCCCCGCCG